Molecule: long non-coding RNA, 748 nt
Organism: Stomoxys calcitrans (stable fly)
Lineage: Eukaryota; Metazoa; Arthropoda; Insecta; Diptera; Muscidae
Exons: 4
Source: RefSeq, a predicted model, not a curated record
GCCUUUUACAUUUGCCUCUAUUUACCUGGACUGUACAGUUAAGCAUCAUAUGCUGGGUCAUUAACUAUUCAGGGCAUGUGGCGCCGUCGAAAUGACGUUAGCAACACACACUGUUAACAAGAGAAAACCAUGCAAACCUUUCCCGUGCUAUACAAACAGUAUUACUACGCUCAGUCUGAUUAUACGCAUUUUCCAAGAAAAGUCGUAGACGGUAACAAGAAAAAAAUGAAAAAGUGCAAAAAGAUGAAAUAAAAUUAUCAAGGUAAAUUUGAAUAUAAUUACAGGAAGUAAUUUAAUAUGCUGCAGUGGUAUAGCAGUAAUUAGUUCUCAUCGCUUCUUCACAGAAUAGGCCGAAAAUACAGCGUUAAACGGCCUGCAAUUUGGGAACUUUUAAAAUUGAAAUGCGAUCUACAAUGUAUACAGCGAUGGAAUAUUUUAACGCUAAUGACUUCACCAAUGAUUUAUACUACUAAUUACUGACGGACGUACACUUUUGAUGUGUAUACUAAACUAUAAAUAUUGUGUAACGGGAAAAUAUGGUGCUAACUCCUUUGCGACAUAUUUGGCGUGGUGUUCAUAGAUAUCACGUGAAGCUUAGCUAUGGACAUGUCCGUGAAGAUAAAGUUAACUUUAACUAGUAGAGACACAAACCAAUUAAAUUUUCAGCGUAAUGUUAACACGUUAACAAAGCUCUGUUGUACAGUUAACAGCAAAUAUUUAUUAAUAAAAAAACGAUUUUACCUCCAAA